Physcomitrium patens is the source of this 1172-nucleotide non-coding RNA. Lineage: Eukaryota; Viridiplantae; Streptophyta; Bryopsida; Funariales; Funariaceae. The record is from RefSeq and is a predicted model, not a curated record.
UAAUGCUCAAGCUUUCUCAGCAGUGCACUUGUUGCUGAAGAACUGGAACAAUGGAUCAGGACCCAGCUUCAAGAUCACAGCCUUCAACUGUACAGUGUUACAGUGCCACUGCUUGGCUCUCGUGCUCUCUCCCCUCGUAAUGCUGGCUAGACAUUUCCUUUACUGUGACGCUUAAUGAGAGUCUUGGUGUUGUAUUCUGAAACGCUUCCUGGUUGUUGAUUUGAUGCACGCCUCCUCCUUGUCUGUUGUGUAGACCAGGCACUGUUAAGCUCAUUUUUUGUCGUUGUGGAUAGUCCCUCGGUGAUUAAUUGGGCGUUUAGGGUGGGAGCGGGAGAGGGUGGAGAAGCUGACAAAACUCCACUUACGGUGAUGGUCUUGCAACAGUUAUGACUGCUGACACCAAUUGGAGCCGCGUUUAGGAACUGGAGCUAGUUUGUGCAGCCAGCAUUGCGAGCGAUCGGCUCCGACCGUUUGUCAUUUACUGGGUGUUGACGUUUGUGGAAACACUAGCACCACAGUCGAUUGGUUGGCAGUGUAAAGGCGUUAGGCUUCUGUGAGCUUGUUCAAGAUGUUUGCAGCUCUCAUUGAGCCUAAUGAAAAGGGCCUCUGCGAUUAUGGGUAUCGGUGUGUGAAGUUGCAAAUUGGUUAUUUCUACGUCCAAAUAAUUCCUUUUAUUUCGAGGGAUGGUUAUUAUCUUCACUGUUCGUGACAUAUUUAAGCAGGAGUGGAGUUCAUCAUACCUUGAAGGAUUUCAUCUGAAGCGUGAGGAUCGUUCAUGGUCAAAAGAUGCAUCUCAAAACGUUCCUCGCGGAUGAAAAUGAGGACACGAGGAAUCUUUUCUCACUCUUCAAGUGAAAGGCUUUAAUUUGAGUUUGCGACUUACAUUGCCGUGAAUAAUGAGAUUUGUGAGAAGCUCUCGGAUUGACCUCGCACUUCAACUACAUGUAAGAGUGGAUGGAGAACGAGGAAACUGAGAAUGAUACCUGAGUGGAAAGAGCUUGUUACAAACUGAGGAUUUUAAAAUUAAACGAGAAGGCGGAUGUUGGCUUUUCCGAAAAUGAGGGAGCCCACCGGGGUCCCCCAGUGACCACUGUAGGUUCCAUCCAUAAUUUUUGCGUCCUUACUUGGCGUAAACUAGUACCUAAAUUUAGUAAACAUACAUUUUGUUUGGA